Molecule: ribosomal RNA, 465 nt
Filed under: uncultured bacterium
Lineage: Bacteria
Description: partial 16S ribosomal RNA
Rfam family: Bacterial small subunit ribosomal RNA
Source: RNAcentral
GACGAACGCUGGCGGCGUGCUUAACACAUGCAAGUCGAACGGAAAGGCCCUGCUUGCAGGGUCCUCGAGUGGCGAACGGGUGAGUAACACGUGGGUGAUCUGCCCUGCACUUCGGGAUAAGCCUGGGAAACUGGGUCUAGUACCGGAUAGGUGCCAUUUUUAGUGUGAUGGUUGGAAAGUUUUUUCGGUGUAGGAUGAGCUCGCGGCCUAUCAGCUUGUUGGUGGGGUAAUGGCCUACCAAGGCGGCGACGGGUAGCCGGCCUGAGAGGGUGGACGGCCACAGUGGGACUGGGAUACAGCCCAGACUCCUACGGGAGGCAGCAGUGGGGGAGAGUGCAAAAGGGGCACAAGCCUGAUGCAGCGACGCCGCGGGGGGGAUGACGGCCUUCGGGUUGUAAACGCAUUUCGCUAGGGACGAAGCUUUUUGUGACGGUACCUAGAUAAGAAGCACCGGCUAACUACGUG